UGGGGAAUAUUGCACAAUGGGCGCAAGCCUGAUGCAGCCAUGCCGCGUGUAUGAAGAAGGCCUUCGGGUUGUAAAGUACUUUCAGCGAGGAGGAAGGCGUUGUGGUUAAUAACCGCAACGAUUGACGUUACUCGCAGAAGAAGCACCGGCUAACUCCGUGCCAGCAGCCGCGGUAAUACGGAGGGUGCAAGCGUUAAUCGGAAUUACUGGGCGUAAAGCGCACGCAGUCGGUCUGUCAAGUCGGAUGUGAAAUCCCCGGGCUCAACCUGGGAACUGCAUCCGAAACUGGCAGGCUAGAGUCUUGUAGAGGGGGGUAGAAUUCCAGGUGUAGCGGUGAAAUGCGUAGAGAUCUGGAGGAAUACCGGUGGCGAAGGCGGCCCCCUGGACAAAGACUGACGCUCAGUUGCGAAAGCGUGGGGAGCAAACA
This 427-nucleotide ribosomal RNA is filed under the name uncultured bacterium. RNAcentral's name for it is "partial 16S ribosomal RNA". It matches the Rfam family "Bacterial small subunit ribosomal RNA", at positions 355 to 774 of the family's 1533-position model. The record is from RNAcentral.